This 263-nucleotide ribosomal RNA is filed under the name uncultured bacterium. Its description in RNAcentral is "partial 16S ribosomal RNA". It matches the Rfam family "Bacterial small subunit ribosomal RNA", at positions 793 to 1055 of the family's 1533-position model. The record is from RNAcentral.
GUCCACGCCGUAAACGGUGGGUGCUAGGUGUGAGCGGUAUUCCACGCCGUUCGUGCCGCAGCUAACGCAUUAAGCACCCCGCCUGGGGAGUACGGCCGCAAGGCUAAAAACUCAAAGGAAUUGACGGGGGCCCGCACAAGCAGCGGAGCAUGUGGCUUAAUUCGACGCAACGCGAAGAACCUUACCAAGGCUUGACAUGCAGGGAAAUCUCCCAGAGAUGGGAGGUCCGCAAGGGUCCUGCACAGGUGGUGCAUGGUUGUCGU